This 372-nucleotide unclassified non-coding RNA is filed under the name Bombus terrestris (buff-tailed bumblebee). RNAcentral's name for it is "misc RNA ENSBTSG00005025643.1". The record is from RNAcentral. Lineage: Eukaryota; Metazoa; Arthropoda; Insecta; Hymenoptera; Apidae.
GUGAGAGGAUAAAAUAAAGGAGGUCACCGCUGUAUGUGGUUUUCGAGAAAAUAGAAACGGAGAGCCUUUCGUAUUUCGCAACAUCGCGUCGUAACGAAUUCAGCAGGCGGUCGCUUGUUUUCGUCGGCCCGCCGCUAACUUGUUCACGGUUUAAGUCACGAAAUCUCGAACAGAACGACGACAUGCAUAAAAUCCGUCCUUCUUUCGACGUGACUCGAGCUGGAAGUAAGAACUUCCAGCGAACUGCUCCUAACCAGAAGAAGAAGAAGAAGAGGAAGGGGUUCAAGCUGUCCCGAGGAACGACCUGGUGUCUGCUGGAGAUUGCACGGUGAUCAUUGAAUAUGGUACCGCAUCAGAAACGCGUAAAAUCUG